CAGUCGCCGCGGUAAUACGAAGGGUGCAAGCGUUAAUCGGAAUUACUGGGCGUAAAGCGCGCGUAGGUGGUUCAUUAAGUUGGAUGUGAAAGCCCUGGGCUCAACCUGGGAACUGCAUCCAAAACUGGUGAGCUAGAGUACGGUAGAGGGUAGUGGAAUUUCCUGUGUAGCGGUGAAAUGCGUAGAUAUAGGAAGGAACACCAGUGGCGAAGGCGACUACCUGGACUGAUACUGACACUGAGGUGCGAAAGCGUGGGGAGCAAACAGGAUUAGAUACCCCCGUAGUCCCUGUCUCUUAUAC
This 301-nucleotide ribosomal RNA is filed under the name uncultured bacterium. RNAcentral describes it as "partial 16S ribosomal RNA". It matches the Rfam family "Bacterial small subunit ribosomal RNA", at positions 509 to 807 of the family's 1533-position model. The record is from RNAcentral.